Molecule: long non-coding RNA, 3496 nt
Filed under: Bos indicus x Bos taurus (hybrid cattle)
Lineage: Eukaryota; Metazoa; Chordata; Mammalia; Artiodactyla; Bovidae
Description: lncRNA (ENSBIXG00005005935.1)
Source: RNAcentral
AUAAUGGUUAUUCAUGACCAAGAAGGAAAGACCUGAGACAUGGAAUGAGCGAUUGCAGCCCUUCAGUAUGACACAGAUUCACAUCAAGAUAAAGAUGAUGUGCAAAGAAAACCCAUGCCCCCAAAGAGAUUACAGCCACUCCUCCAGACAGAUCCAGCAGGAAUAACCACAAAAGUCACCUUGGGGCCACUUAAUAGAACAGGUGGCUGCCGCCUGGUGACAAUGGCCGUAUGAGCCCCACCAUGGCCCACUGGAAGCGUCAGAGCACAGUGAGCAGCCUGCUGGACCACAGGGUGAGACCGGGCCUGGAGCCCAAGAGCAAGGACGUGGAGGAACUAGCCCUGGAAGAGUACAUGCCCACUGGACUGGAGCUAGUGGCCCUGUGGCCUGAGAGGCCGUUGCCUGCCCAGAAGGGCGGCCCUGAUGGGUACUUUGGCUCCAACUAGAGUAAACAACACCUCGGAGGAGGAGGACUAUGACGAGGGCUGCCUGAAGAGGAGGGCAUCACCUAUUACAUCCGCUACUGCCCCAAGGACAACAGCUACCUGCAGGGGAUGGACUGCAACAGGCAGGGCUACUUGGCCCACCUAGAGAUGCCAUCUGGAGAUGGAUGAGUGCCAGGAGGUGGUGGAGGAGUGGACAGAGCCAGGGCCAGCGACUCCCCAGAGGUCUGCCCACUUGCCAAGUCUGGCCGUGGCCCCAGCAGACACAAGGGCAGGCCCAAGUUGCUGAACCUCCCUCGAGGCCAAGCACCCUGCCGAUGCCCAGAGGAGCUUCAAGACCAGGACCCAGGAAGAGAGGCCUAAGUGGCCCCAAGAGGAGGACACUGGGCUGCACUCUGAGAAGUUCCUGGAUCUCCCCUGGACCUGACCAUCAUGUGGCCAGAGAAAUUGCCCAGCUCUCCUGUUUUCUCAGCACUUCAGCAGGACAAGAAAGACAGAGCCUGCCAGAACCAAGUCGACCGUCCCUCCUCAGCAGAGACCAGACCUGCCCCUCGUCUCCCAGCCCUGCGCCUGGUGUGUGUUUUGUCAACACUUCAGUGGAACAAGAAAGGACCAAGCCUGCAAGAACCAAGGUGUAUAUGAACUUGAUUCAGUUAUACCUGCUGCUGCUGCUGCUGCCGCCGCCUCGCUUUAGUCAUGUCCGACUCUGUGCGACCCCAUAAACAGCAGCCCACCAGGCUUCCCGUCCCUGGGAUUCUCCAGGCAAGAACACUGGAGUGGGUUGCCAUUUCCUUCUCCAAUGCAUGAAAGUGAAAAGUGAAAGUUAAGUUGUUCAGACGUGUCCGACUCUAGCGACCCCAUGGACUGCAGCCUACCAGGCUCCUCCAUCCAUGGGAUUUUCCAGGCAAGAGUACUGGAGUGGGGUGCCAUUGCCUUCUCCGCAGUUAUACCUAGAUGUUUAUCUAUUCUUUUUCUGCUUUUUUACUCAUAUAGGUUAUUACAUUUUUUCCAGUACAGUUUCCUGUUCUAUUCAGAAAACUUAAUAUAUUAUCAACUUGAUAUAUAUUAGUGCAUAUAUUUCCAUCCCAAACUAUUAAUUUAUCCCUCUCUUCUAACUUUCUUUUGAUAAUUGGAAUUUGGUUUUCUCAGGCUGUGAGUCUGUCUGGUACAUUAGUUCACUGGUAUGAAUGUAUAGAUUCCACCCGUACGUAUCACAUAUUUGUCUCUGACUUACCUCACAUAGAAUAUAAUUUCUUGGUUCAUCCAUGCUGCUGCCAAUGUCAUCAUUUCAUUUUGUUUUACGACUGAGUAGUAUUCCAGUGUAUAGGUGUACCUCAUAGCCUUCACCUUUCUGUCACUGGACAUUUUGGUGGAUUCUAUAUCUUGGCUUUUGUAAAUAGUGUUGCCCUGAAAGUUGAGGUGCACGUGUCAUUUUGAAUGAUGAUUUUUUUCUGGACCUGAGUCCAGGAAUGGGAUUUCAGGAUCAUAUGAUACCUCUCUGUUUAGUGUUUCAAGGAACGUCCAUGAUGUUUUCCAUAGUGGCUUCACCAUUUACAUUCCCACCAGGAUUGUAGGAGGAUUCCUUUUUCUGUACAUUCUCUACAGUGUUUGUUCUUUGUAGAUCUUUUCGAUGAUGGCCACUGUGACUAAGGCAAUACCUUAUUGAAGUUUUGAUUGGCAUUGAUUUAAUAAUUAUUGAUGUGGAGUAUCUUUCCAUGUGCUUUUAUUAUUUUACACCUUGUGAGUACAGUUUACCUCUUGAAACUGGCUUCUAGAAACUUGACCCUGUUUGGAAUUCUUUUGCGAUGAUUUACCUCAGGACAUUCCUUGAGUGCAGGUGUCAUUUAAAGUCCUGCUGGACUUUUGACUAUUAAGAGCCCUUCAGCACGUGUUUUAUGGCUUCCCUGUUGGAUCAGCGGUAAGAAAUCCACCUGCAAUGCAAGAGACUUGAGGAGACACAGUUUUGAUGCCUGGGUUGGGAAGAUCCCCUGGAGAAGGAAAAGGCAACCCACUCCAGUCUUCUUGCCUGGGAAAUCCCAUGACAGAUGAGCCUGGCAGGCUACAGUCCAUGGGGUUCCAAAGAGCUGGACACGAGUGACUAAACAAAACAGCAGCUGUUUUAAUGUGUAUAUAUUGAUCUGAACCCCCUAAUUACUCCCUGCCCCCUGACAUUUCUUUUUGGUAAACAUCAAGCUUCUUUUCUAAGUCUGUGAAUCUGUUUCUCUUCUGUAAUGAAGUUCAUUUGUAUCCAUUUUUAGAUUCUGCCGGAAGUGAUAUCCUAUGAUGCUUGUCUCCCUGUUUCACUUUCUUCACUUACUGUAAAUCACCUCUGGUUUCUUCCCUGUAACUAGAAAUGUCAUUGUUUCAUCCUUUUUUAUUUCUGAGUAAUAUUGCAUUGUGUAUAUGUACCCCAUCUUCUGUAUCCAUUCAUCUGUCUUGGUACACUUAAGUUGCUUCUGUAUCUUUGCUACUGUACCUAGGGCUGCUAUGACCUUUGGGGUGCAGGUUUCUCUUUAUAUUUUGGUUUUCUCUGGAUCUACACCUAGGUAUGGUAUUGCUGGAUCACUUGGUACUUCUAUUUUUAGUUUUCUAUAAACCUCCAUAAUGUUCUCCAUAGUGGGUGUACGAUUUACAUUCCCACCAACAGUGUAAGAGGGUUCCCUUCUCUCCACCGCCUCUGGAGAAUUUACUGUUGUAGGUUUUUUGAUAUGGUCAUUUAGAUCAACCAUAUUGCCUUUCCAAUGACAAAGAAAGGUAAUGCCAAAGAAUGCUCAAAUUACUGCACAAUUGCACUCAUCUCACAUGCUAGUAAAGUAAUGCUCAAAAUUCUCCAAGCCAGGCUUUAGCAGUACGUGAACCGUGAACUUCCAGAUGUUCAAGCUGGUUUUAGAAAAGGCAGAGGAACCAGAGAUCAAAUUGCCAACAUUCGCUGGAUCAUCGAAAAAGCAAGAGUUCCCAAAAAAACCAUCCAUUUCUGUUUUAUUGACUAUGCCAAAGCCUUUGACUGUGUGAAUCACAAUAAACUGUGGAAAAUUCUGAAAGAGAUGGGAAUA